Rhododendron vialii is the source of this 129-nucleotide small nuclear RNA. Lineage: Eukaryota; Viridiplantae; Streptophyta; Magnoliopsida; Ericales; Ericaceae. The record is from RefSeq and is a predicted model, not a curated record.
UAUUUCGUAGAAAGGAGAGAUGGUUGGCAUCUCCCCAGACAGGGACGGGAACAGCCUUCGGGCUUACCUGAUACCGGACACAUCCGGUUAAGGCUACCCACUUUGGUGGAUUUAUAACCCAAUUUUUUA